This 425-nucleotide long non-coding RNA is filed under the name Nicotiana benthamiana. Its description in RNAcentral is "long non-coding RNA (NBEN_LNC030672)". Lineage: Eukaryota; Viridiplantae; Streptophyta; Magnoliopsida; Solanales; Solanaceae. The record is from RNAcentral.
AUUUAUUAUCACAGAUUAAAUUACUAAUAAUAUAUUAAAAGAAAUUUUUGUACUAAUCAUAUCAGUGUAUAUAACUUAAAUAACUUAAAUCCAAUUUGAUAACGAGAACAACACGGAAUCAACAAAAAAGCUAGAUCUUUACCCACCAGCAAAAAAGAAACUAAUUUACAGCAUUAAUUAGGACAUCACAUCUGAAAUUACCAAAACAAACAAAAUCAAACAAUUAAAUUAACAUAAUUACAUAGAAAUUACUCCAAAUUAACCUUGCAGUAAGCACAGAAACAGUUCUUAUCAUUUUACUCAUAUUCACCGUCAAUAUAAUUAGGAAAAACCAUUCCACAAAAUGUACCUGUAUAAAUUAAGUGCACAAAUCAAGGUUUAUCAGCUAUUCAGCAAAAAAGGAAGUCAGAUCAAAUUAAAGGCAA